RNAcentral lists this ribosomal RNA (271 nucleotides) under uncultured prokaryote. RNAcentral describes it as "partial 16S ribosomal RNA". It matches the Rfam family "Bacterial small subunit ribosomal RNA", at positions 524 to 794 of the family's 1533-position model. The record is from RNAcentral.
UACGUAGGUGGCGAGCGUUGUCCGGAAUUACUGGGCGUAAAGGGCGAGUAGGCGGUAACACAAGUCAGAUGUGAAAGGCGAGGGCUCAACCCUCGGAUUGCAUUUGAAACUGUGUAACUUGAGUGCGGUAGAGGAAAGUGGAAUUCCCAGUGUAGCGGUGAAAUGCGUAGAUAUUGGGAGGAACACCAGUGGCGAAGGCAGGUCUCUGGGCAGUUACUGACGCUGAGGAGCGAAAGCAUGGGUAGCGAACAGGAUUAGAUACCCGGGUAGU